This 406-nucleotide ribosomal RNA is filed under the name uncultured bacterium. Its description in RNAcentral is "partial 16S ribosomal RNA". It matches the Rfam family "Bacterial small subunit ribosomal RNA", at positions 29 to 526 of the family's 1533-position model. The record is from RNAcentral.
AUUGAACGCUGGCGGCAGGCCUAACACAUGCAAGUCGAACGAGUGGCGGACGGGUGAGUAAUGUCUGGGAAACUGCCUGAUGGAGGGGGAUAACUACUGGAAACGGUAGCUAAUACCGCAUACCAUCGGAUGUUCCCAGAUGGGAUUAGCUAGUAGGUGGGGUAAAGGCUCACCUAGGCGACGAUCCCUAGCUGGUCUGAGAGGAGGACAAGCCACACGGGAACUGAGAAACGGUCCAGAGGCUUACGGGAGGCAGCAGUGGGGAAUAGUGCACAAUGGGCGGAAGCCUGAUAGAGCCAUGCCGCGUGUAUGAAGAAGGCCAUCGGGUUGUAAAGUACUUUCAGCGGGGAGGCGUUACCCGCAGAAGAAGCAACGGCUAACUCCGUGCCAGCAGUCGCGGUAAUUC